UACAGAGGGUGCGAGCGUUAAUCGGAGUUACUGGGCGUAAAGGGCGCGUAGGCGGUUCGUUAAGAUUGUUGUGAAAUCCCUGGGCUUAACCUAGGAACUGCAACGAAGACUGGCGAGCUGGAGUAUUGUAGAGGGUAGUGGAAUUUCCGGUGUAGCGGUGAAAUGCGUAGAGAUCGGAAGGAACACCAGUGGCGAAGGCGGCUACCUGGACAAAUACUGACGCUGAGGCGCGAGAGCGUGGGGAGCAAACAGG
RNAcentral lists this ribosomal RNA (253 nucleotides) under uncultured bacterium. Its description in RNAcentral is "partial 16S ribosomal RNA". It matches the Rfam family "Bacterial small subunit ribosomal RNA", at positions 524 to 776 of the family's 1533-position model. The record is from RNAcentral.